AUUAAAGGGUGCCCCGACCUCGAGAGAAAGUGUAAGCGAGGAGGACCGUAUUGGGACCUCAUCUCAUGCAUCCCCAAUACCAAAAUAUCAUCUAAGAGGAGCAACUUCAGCACAUUCCUUCCUUCCUUUUCUUGCUUUAGAAGACCAUCUACAUUUUAAUGUCAUCCCAGUCCUUUCGAGAUGAGCAGCAAAUUUAGCUUCAGGAUGAAUUAAGAGCGUUCAUGGUACAAGCAGCUUUCUUCUGGAUCAUUUCAGCAUUCAUUCCAGCAUAAGGAGAAACGACAAAUCCUUUGAUAAAUUUUUAAAUAUAUCCAGGCCUUCAAUGAUCAAGUGUCUCCAUGUGAAUCUUCUUGAUACAUUUGCUUUUGCUGUUGUCAAGCAUUUAAAGGGGCACUAGGAAGAGAAAAGCUUAAUUCCCUUUUAGAAGAUGUCAUUUGGCAUUUAAUGUUGUUUUGAUUGUUUUCUCUGAACCUUAUUUUGUUUGAUGUCCUUCGAUAUAAAGAUAUUGUAUUUGAAGACUUUGGAUGGUACUUCUGCUUCAUGUACCAAAAACAAUUGAAAGAUGGAGAUGUACUUUAUUAAUUAUUUCAGCA
This is a non-coding RNA of Phoenix dactylifera (date palm), 593 nucleotides long. The record is from RefSeq and is a predicted model, not a curated record. Lineage: Eukaryota; Viridiplantae; Streptophyta; Magnoliopsida; Arecales; Arecaceae.